RNAcentral lists this ribosomal RNA (254 nucleotides) under uncultured bacterium. RNAcentral's name for it is "partial 16S ribosomal RNA". It matches the Rfam family "Bacterial small subunit ribosomal RNA", at positions 524 to 776 of the family's 1533-position model. The record is from RNAcentral.
UACAGAGGUCUCAAGCGUUGUUCGGAUUCAUUGGGCGUAGAGGGUGUGUAGGUGGCGCGCUAAGUCGGGUGUGAAAUUUCGGAGCUUAACUCCGAAACUGCAUUCGAUACUGGCGUGCUUGAGGACUGGAGAGGAGACUGGAAUUUACGGUGUAGCAGUGAAAUGCGUAGAUAUCGUAAGGAAGACCAGUGGCGAAAGGCGGGUCUCUGGACAGUUCCUGACACUGAGACACGAAGGCCAGGGGAGCAAACGGG